Molecule: long non-coding RNA, 1169 nt
Organism: Carassius gibelio (silver crucian carp)
Lineage: Eukaryota; Metazoa; Chordata; Actinopteri; Cypriniformes; Cyprinidae
Exons: 3
Source: RefSeq, a predicted model, not a curated record
UGAAAAGACGUAAAGGCAGUCAGCCCAGUGGUGUUUCUGGAGAGGGAUUCCUUCAGAAAUGGAGAAGACAGAAAGCUGCGGAGGCAGAUAUUUGCAGCAUGUUCGAGUGAGCAUGAUGACCACAAGUGUGUGUCGAACUUUUCAUGACCUGAUGACUGUGUUUCCCAAUCCUGAUCCUGGAGAACCCCAGCACUGCACGGUUUUGGCGUCUCUCUUAUCUGCCUUGGAGUCUUCACUGAUGAGCUGAUGAGUUGAAUCAGGAUUGUUUGAGGAUAACACUGCAGUUCUCCAUCAUGCACAAGGACUCACCUCGUUAACUCUUUAUCCCCCACACACACAGAAAUGGUCCCUGGAUCAGUGAUUAGACUUUGCAGUGGUUUGAUUUUUGCAGAAGAUGUAACUUUGUUUUAUUUAUAAGCUCAUAAUGAAUACAUUACAGAACCAGUGAUGAAAACAAUAGUUAAAAAUAGUAUUUUUCGUAUUGAUAAAGCAUUUUGUUCUCUUUUUCAAGCUUCAUACAGUGAACUUUUUAGACUUUAAUUAAGAGUUUUAGUAAAGGAGAUAUUCAUACACAGUCAUCCCCUAGCUCCAGUCAUGAAGUGAAUUCAUGAUGUUAUUGUCAAAGCUAGCAGGUGUUUGUUUUCCUGAACACUUUCUCUGUCUUCCAUUGUUCAGACAAUCAGUGUUUAUUUGAUGCUGUGCUGAUUGAGUUUUAUAGAUGAUAUUGCACACUUGACAUGCAUGUCUUCAUGGUGUUUUUUUGUGAGUUUGAAACAUUUACAUUGUGUUGUAUAACAUUUUGGUCAAUUUAAUUUUUUAAAUAAAAUUGAUCUUUUUCCAGUGUUCUCUGAAAGACAUACUGUAUUUACUGUUUUGUUUUUUAAUAAAAGCAUUUUCAUUUGCAUACUGAAAAUAGUUAAUGUUUACAACAUAACUGCCUUUUUAUUCUUUAUGGUGGCAAAAACGAGCUUGGUGACAGAGGAUGCAGUGUAGUAAUUUGGGCAUGUUGUCUUUAAAUGAGUUUGACAUAUCAAUAAAUAAUGGAAGAUCCUUACAAAAAUAUGCAUGUUUAUUAUGCUUUAUGUAUUUAUUUGUUCAUUCAUUCAUUCAUUAAUUUAUAAUUUCUGUUUUUAUUCCUAGGGUUCAAAUGGUAGAGAAUGGUAAAUCAC